CCUACACGCGGCAACGCCGCGUGGGGGAUGAAGCUUCUCGGAGUGUAAACUCCUUUCGACCGGGACGAUUAUGACGGUACCGGUGGAAGAAGCCCCGGCUAACUCCGUGCCAGCAGCCGCGGUAAUACGGGGGGGGCAAGCGUUGUUCGGAAUUAUUGGGCGUAAAGGGCGCGUAGGCGGUGCGGUAAGUCACCUGUGAAAUCUCCGGGCUCAACUCGGAGCCUGCAGGCGAAACUGCCGUGCUGGAGGGUGGCAGAGGGGAGAUCGGAAUUCCUGGUGUAGCGGUGAAAUGCGCAGAUAUCAGGAGGAACACCGGUGGCGAAGGCGGAUCUCUGGGCCUUACCUGACGCUCAGGUGCGAAAGCUAGGGGAGCGAACAGGAUUAGAUACCCUGGUAGUCCUAGCUGUAAACGAUGAGUACUGGGUAGGGUUGGUCCAAUGCCAGCCCUGCCGGAGCAAAUGUGUUAAGUACUCCGCCUGGGGAGUAUGGUCGCAAGGCUAAAACUUAAAGGAAUUGACG
RNAcentral lists this ribosomal RNA (519 nucleotides) under uncultured Candidatus Korobacter sp. RNAcentral's name for it is "bacterial SSU rRNA". It matches the Rfam family "Bacterial small subunit ribosomal RNA", at positions 381 to 915 of the family's 1533-position model. Lineage: Bacteria; Pseudomonadati; Acidobacteriota; Terriglobia; Terriglobales; Candidatus Korobacteraceae. The record is from RNAcentral.